RNAcentral lists this long non-coding RNA (298 nucleotides) under Dromaius novaehollandiae (emu). RNAcentral describes it as "lncRNA (ENSDNVG00000005154.1)". Lineage: Eukaryota; Metazoa; Chordata; Aves; Casuariiformes; Dromaiidae. The record is from RNAcentral.
UUUGGGACUUAGAGUAAAGAAUCUGCCUAUCACCUGGAUGAUGCCUGUCAGCUGAAACCUUUGCCUUGUACAAGAUCAUUUCAGGAGCUGAGACAUUGAAUACAUCCAGACUUGCUGCCAACGUACAAAGAAAAGAUACACUCAUCAUUGAACAAGAGGGGCUCAGAGCUACUCACAGACCUCAUCAGUACUAAGAAAAUUGGACAUGAGAACGAUAAGCCCUGUGAGCUGAUCUAUUCUUGAUUUUACAGAUCCCUCCAUUUCAUGUGUAUCAUCUGGAAACAGGUGAAAAAGUAGG